This 76-nucleotide microRNA precursor is filed under the name Stegodyphus mimosarum. Its description in RNAcentral is "mir-10 microRNA precursor family". It matches the Rfam family "mir-10 microRNA precursor family". Rfam says of the family: In this case the mature sequence comes from the 5' arm of the precursor. The extents of the hairpin precursors are not generally known and are estimated based on hairpin prediction. The record is from Rfam by way of RNAcentral. Lineage: Eukaryota; Metazoa; Arthropoda; Arachnida; Araneae; Eresidae.
CGUAAUCUACCCUGUAGAUCCGGGCUUUUGUAGAUUGCAUAGCUUUCAGAAGCUCGUAUUUACAGGUACCUUGCGA